AUUGAACGCUGGCGGCAGGCCUAACACAUGCAAGUCGAACGGUAACAGGAAGAAGCUUGCUUCUUUGCUGACGGGUGGCGGACGGGUGAGUAAUGUCUGGGAAACUGCCUGAUGGAGGGGGAUAACUACUGGAAACGGUAGCUAAUACCGCAUAACGUCGCAAGACCAAAGAGGGGGACCUUCGGGCCUCUUGCCAUCGGAUGUGCCCAGAUGGGAUUAGCUAGUAGGUGGGGUAACGGCUCACCUAGGCGACGAUCCCUAGCUGGUCUGAGAGGAUGACCAGCCACACUGGAACUGAGACACGGUCCAGACUCCUACGGGAGGCAGCAGUGGGGAAUAUUGCACAAUGGGCGCAAGCCUGAUGCAGCCAUGCCGCGUGUAUGAAGAAGGCCUUCGGGUUGUAAAGUACUUUCAGCGGGGAGGAAGGGAGUAAAGUUAAUACCUUUGCUCAUUGACGUUACCCGCAGAAGAAGCACCGGCUAACUCCGUGCCAGCAGCCGCGGUAAUACGGAGGGUGCAAGCGUUAAUCGGAAUUACUGGGCGUAAAGCGCACGCAGGCGGUUUGUUAAGUCAGAUGUGAAAUCCCCGGGCUCAACCUGGGAACUGCAUCUGAUACUGGCAAGCUUGAGUCUCGUAGAGGGGGGUAGAAUUCCAGGUGUAGCGGUGAAAUGCGUAGAGAU
RNAcentral lists this ribosomal RNA (680 nucleotides) under uncultured Pseudomonadota bacterium. RNAcentral's name for it is "bacterial SSU rRNA". It matches the Rfam family "Bacterial small subunit ribosomal RNA", at positions 28 to 697 of the family's 1533-position model. The record is from RNAcentral. Lineage: Bacteria; Pseudomonadati; Pseudomonadota.